UACGUAGGGCGCAAGCGUUGUCCGGAAUUAUUGGGCGUAAAGAGCUCGUAGGCGGCUUGUCACGUCGGUUGUGAAAGCCCGGGGCUUAACCCCGGGUCUGCAUCCGAUACGGGCAGGCUAGAGUGUGGUAGGGGAGAUCGGAAUUCCUGGUGUAGCGGUGAAAUGCGCAGAUAUCAGGAGGAACACCGGUGGCGAAGGCGGAUCUCUGGGCCAUUACUGACGCUGAGGAGCGAAAGCGUGGGGAGCGAACAGG
Molecule: ribosomal RNA, 253 nt
Filed under: uncultured bacterium
Lineage: Bacteria
Description: partial 16S ribosomal RNA
Rfam family: Bacterial small subunit ribosomal RNA
Source: RNAcentral